GACGAACGCUGGCGGCGUGCUUAACACAUGCAAGUCGAACGGAAAGGCCCUGCUCUUGUGGGGUGCUCGAGUGGCGCACGGGUAAGUAACACGCGAGUAACCUGCACUUGACUUUGGGAUAACUUCAGGAAACUGGGGCUAUUACCGGAUAGGAGCUUCUGCUGCAUGGUGGGGGUUGGAAAGUUUCGGCGGUUGGGGAUGUACUCGCGGCUUACCAGCUUGUUGGUGGGGUAGUGGCUUACCCAGGCUUUGACGGGUAGCCGGCCUGAGAGGGUGACCGGCCACAUAGGGACUGGGAUACGGCCCAGAGUGCUACUGGCGGCAGCAGUGGAGAAUAUUGCACAAUGGGCGGAAGCCUGAUGCAGGAACGCCGCGUGCGGGAUGACGGCCUUCGGGUUGUAAACUGCUUUCGCCUGUGACGAAGCGUGUGUGACGGUAAUGGGUAGAGAAGCACCGGCUAACUACGU
Molecule: ribosomal RNA, 467 nt
Filed under: uncultured bacterium
Lineage: Bacteria
Description: partial 16S ribosomal RNA
Rfam family: Bacterial small subunit ribosomal RNA
Source: RNAcentral